RNAcentral lists this ribosomal RNA (413 nucleotides) under uncultured bacterium. Its description in RNAcentral is "bacterial SSU rRNA". It matches the Rfam family "Bacterial small subunit ribosomal RNA", at positions 9 to 428 of the family's 1533-position model. The record is from RNAcentral.
GAGUUUGAUCCUGGCUCAGGACGAACGCUGGCGGCGUGCUUAACACAUGCAAGUCGAGCGGAAAGGCCCUUCGGGGUACUCGAGCGGCGAACGGGUGAGUAACACGUGGGCAACCUGCCCCUAGCUCUGGGAUAACUCCGGGAAACCGGUGCUAAUACCGGAUACGACCUCAUUAGGCAUCCUUUGAGGUGGAAAGAUUUAUUGGCUAGGGAUGGGCCCGCGGCCUAUCAGCUUGUUGGUGGGGUAAUGGCCUACCAAGGCGACGACGGGUAGCCGGCCUGAGAGGGCGACCGGCCACACUGGGACUGAGACACGGCCCAGACUCCUACGGGAGGCAGCAGUGGGGAAUAUUGCGCAAUGGGCGAAAGCCUGACGCAGCGACGCCGCGUGAGGGAUGACGGCCUCGGUUGUAA